GUGGGGAAUCUUCCGCAAUGGACGAAAGUCUGACGGAGCGAUGCCGCGUGAGUGAUGAAGGCCUUCGGGUCGUAAAGCUCUGUCAUCGGGGACGAACGGCCUCAGCAGGUAAUGGCUGGGGAUUGACGGUACCCGAGAAGGAAGCCACGGCUAACUACGUGCCAGCAGCCGCGGUAAUACGUAGGUGGCAAGCGUUGUCCGGAAUUAUUGGGCGUAAAGCGCGCGCAGGUGGGAUCUUAAGUCCAUUUUGAAAGUUCGGAGCUCAACUCCGUGAUGGGAUGGAAACUGGGAUUCUUGAGUACCGGAGAGGAAAGCGGAAUUCCCCGUGUAGCGGUGAAAUGCGUAGAUAUGGGGAGGAACACCAGUGGCGAAGGCGGGUUCCUGGCCCAUGACUGACGCUGAGGUGCGAAAGCCGGGGGAGCGAACGGGAUUAGAUACCCGUGUAGUCC
Molecule: ribosomal RNA, 449 nt
Filed under: uncultured bacterium
Lineage: Bacteria
Description: partial 16S ribosomal RNA
Rfam family: Bacterial small subunit ribosomal RNA
Source: RNAcentral